Molecule: long non-coding RNA, 1196 nt
Filed under: Coturnix japonica (Japanese quail)
Lineage: Eukaryota; Metazoa; Chordata; Aves; Galliformes; Phasianidae
Description: lncRNA (ENSCJPG00005006367.1)
Source: RNAcentral
UGGGAUGGAUGGGGACAUUAUGGGAUGGAUGGGGACAUUAUGAUGGGGACAUUAUGGGAUGGAUGAGGACAUUGUGAUUGGGACAUUAUGGGAUGGAUGGGGACAUUAUGGGAUGGAUGGGGCUGUCAUGUCAAUGGGAUGGGGGCACUCAGUGGGGUGAAUGGGGACGUCUUGUGGGGCAGAGCUGUGGGGGGCGGCUUGAGGGGGAGCUCAAUGGGGGCAGCUCUAUGGGGUCAGAUCAGUGGGGGGCAUCUCAAUAGGGUCACCUCUAUGGGGGAUGUCCCAAUGGGGUCACCUCUAUGGGGUCACCUCUAUGGGGGAUGUCCCUAUGGGGUCACCUCUAUGGGGGACACCUUUAUGGGGACACGUCUAUGGGGACACAUCUAUGGGGUCACCUCUAUGGGGCCAUCCCUAUGGGGUCACCUCUAUGGGGGACACCUCUAUGGGGACACAUCUAUGGGGACACCUCAAUGGGGCACCUCAAUGGGGGCACCUCAAUGGGGCACCUCAAUGGGGCACCUCAAUGGGGGCACCUCAAUGGGGUCACCUCUAUGGGGGACAUCCCAAUGGGGUUGACUCUAUGGGGUCAUCACAAUGGGGUCCAUAAUGGGGUCACCUCAAUGGGGUCACCAUAAUGGGGUCACUAUAAUAGGGUCACUAUAAUAGGAUCACCAUAUUGGGGUCCACAAUGGGGUCACCCUAAUGGGGUCACUGUAAUGGGGUCUCCAUAAUGGGGUCACCAUAAUGGAGUCCCUAUAGUAGGGUCCCCUCAAUGGGGUCUCCAUAUUGGGGUCCACAAUGGGGUCACUCUAAUAGGGUCACCAUAUUGGGGUCACCUCAAUGGGGUCACCAUAAUAGGGUCACCACAUUGGGGUCCCUCAAUGGGGUCACCAUAAUAGGGUCCCCUCAAUGGGGUCUCCAUAUUGGGGUCCCCUCAAUGGGGUCUCCAUAUUGGGGUCCACAAUGGGGUCACCCUAAUAGGGUCAUCCCAAUGAGGUUAUUAUAAUAGGGUCUCCAUAAUGGGGUCACCUCAGUGGGGUCACCAUAUUGGGGUCCACAGUGGGGUCACCCUAAUAGGGUUCCCUCAAUGGGGUCACCAUAUUGAGGUCACCACAAUGGGGUCACUAUAAUGGGGUCACCUCAAUGGGGUCACCAUAUUGGGGUCCCCUCAAUGGGGUCACUAUAAUAGGGUCACC